CUGGUUCAAGGGAUAGUUGAGUGAAAGAUACAACAUGCGUUUUGCUUUAAGCUGCUUCGUUCUUACCUUGUUGCUUGAUCAUGUGAGAGGCAAAGAGCACCACACAAGGAACAAAAGAUCCACGUUGAUUCCCAAGCUAGAGAUAACGACAUCUCACAUCAACGUUACUUCU
Actinia tenebrosa (Australian red waratah sea anemone) is the source of this 172-nucleotide long non-coding RNA. RefSeq lists it as uncharacterized. The record is from RefSeq and is a predicted model, not a curated record. Lineage: Eukaryota; Metazoa; Cnidaria; Anthozoa; Actiniaria; Actiniidae.